UGGGGAAUAUUGCGCAAUGGGCGAAAGCCUGACGCAGCAACGCCGCGUGAGUGAUGAAGGCCUUCGGGUCGUAAACCCCUUUCAGCAGGGACGAAAAUGACGGUACCUGCAGAAGAAGCCCCGGCCAACUACGUGCCAGCAGCCGCGGUAAGACGUAGGGGGCGAGCGUUGUCCGGAUUUAUUGGGCGUAAAGAGCUCGUAGGCGGUUGCGUAAGUCGGAUGUGAAAACUCAGGGCUCAACCCUGAGACGCCAUCCGAUACUGCGCUGACUUGAAUCCAGUAGGGGAGUGUGGAAUUCCUGGUGUAGCGGUGAAAUGCGCAGAUAUCAGGAGGAACACCCAUGGCGAAGGCAGCACUCUGGGCUGGUAUUGACGCUGAGGAGCGAAAGCAUGGGUAGCGAACAGGAUUAGAUACCCAAGUAGUCCCUGAGCGGGCUGGCAAGGCGCAU
Molecule: ribosomal RNA, 448 nt
Filed under: uncultured bacterium
Lineage: Bacteria
Description: bacterial SSU rRNA
Rfam family: Bacterial small subunit ribosomal RNA
Source: RNAcentral